This 833-nucleotide ribosomal RNA is filed under the name uncultured Nitrososphaerota archaeon. RNAcentral's name for it is "bacterial SSU rRNA". It matches the Rfam family "Archaeal small subunit ribosomal RNA", at positions 36 to 875 of the family's 1478-position model. Lineage: Archaea; Thermoproteati; Nitrososphaerota. The record is from RNAcentral.
GAUUGAUACUAAGCCAUGCGAGUCAUUGUAGCAAUACAAGGCAGACGGCUCAGUAACGCGUAGUCAACCUACCCUAUGGACGGGAAUAACCUCGGGAAACUGAGUAUAAUGCCCGAUAGAACACUAUACCUGGAAUGGUUUGUGUUUCAAAUGAUUUAUUGCCAUAGGAUGGGACUGCGGCCUAUCAGUUUGUUGGUGAGGUAAUGGCCCACCAAGACUAUUACAGGUACGGGCUCUGAGAGGAGUGGCCCGGAGAUGGGUACUGAGACACGGACCCAGGUCCUAUGGGGCGCAGCAGGCGAGAAAACUUUGCAAUGUGCGAAAGCACGACAAGGUUAAUCCGAGUGGUUUCUGCUAAAGGAACCUUUUGUUAGUCCUAGAAACACUAACGAAUAAGGGGUGGGCAAGUUCUGGUGUCAGCCGCCGCGGUAAAACCAGCACCUCAAGUGGUCAGGAUGAUUAUUGGGCCUAAAGCAUCCGUAGCCGGCUCAGUAAGUUUUCGGUUAAAUCUGUACGCUUAACGUACAGGCUGCCGGGAAUACUGCAGAGCUAGGGAGUGGGAGAGGUAGACGGUACUCGGGAGGAAGUGGUAAAAUGCUUUGAUCUUUCGAUGACCACCUGUGGCGAAGGCGGUCUACCAGAACACGUCCGACGGUGAGGGAUGAAAGCUGGGGGAGCAAACCGGAUUAGAUACCCGGGUAGUCCCAGCUGUAAACUAUGCAAACUCAGUGAUGCAUUGGCUUGUGGCCAAUGCAGUGUUGCAGGGAAGCCGUUAAGUUUGCCGCCUGGGAAGUACGUACGCAAGUAUGAAACUUAAAGGAAUUGGCGGGGGA